AAGUAGCAUCCCGGCCUCUCCAGGGAAGGGUUCUGCGGGAGCUUCCCGAGCAAUUGCUGCUUUGGAUAGGGCAGAAGGCAGCGACGCUGUAAACUGGGCCCUUUACCCGGCAAGAAUGAGUGUUGUCCCAAACUAGAGCAGGUACGAGGUGGACCAGUCCUGGACUCCUCACUUCUUUCUGGACAAUCAAGACUGAAGUCGCAAGGGAAUGGGACAACGGUCCUGAUGAGGGACUCCAGGCAGUGCUGGAUCCUAAGCUGGCAGCCCAUAGUUCCCAUAUCGAAAGAAUGUCCCACCCCUUUCAGCCUUCGAUUAUGGGUGAACUUGGGAAGAUGAACACCUACAUCCUGAUCCAUUAAAGUCACCCACUAACCUUGGCUUUAUCCAGAAGGGUGGAUUGCCUGAAAGCCUGCAAGGGGAAUGGUCACCCAGGAUGGCCAUACACACAGGACCUCAUCCCACCCGACUGCAAGUCCACCUGUCUGCCAUCCACUCACAGGAUGUACAUGAUGACACCAAUGGCCCAGCAGUCCACAGGGCGUCCAUACCGUUGCCGGCCUACCACCUCUGGGGCUAUAAAUACAGUAUCCAUGUGCUGGUGUGCAGUUUGCCAGUCGUCUUGUCCUUGGCCCGGAAGAUUUCACAGAACUCCUCGCUGCAGCAAGAGGUACUCUGUUCAGCCCUGGCCUUAGCAUAAGCUAUUUCCCAGACGAAGGGGCUGAAAUCACCCAUUCACCAGAUAUUUAUCUCUGAAGAUCUGGAGAUCCCAAGUUUUGGGGAAGAUGUGGAAAACAAGAACACUGCUAAUAGAGGGCAGCUCUCCCCAUUGAAAACCAGUUUGGUUAAACAAACAUGCCCUGUGUAAUCCUAAAUAUUUGCUCCACAGAAAUGCAUAUGUUUGUGCCUCAGAACACUUGUAUAAGUAUGCUCCUAUAGUGUCCAUAUCCAUAAUUGCCAAAAGUUGGAAACAGCAUAAAUAUUUAUCACCAGCAGAAUGUAUUGUGAUAGAGUCAUACAGAUGAAUAUUAUACUGCAAUGAAAAUAAAGGAACUACAGAUAAUGGUUCCUUCCAAGAGA
This is a long non-coding RNA of Castor canadensis (American beaver), 1077 nucleotides long. RefSeq lists it as uncharacterized. Lineage: Eukaryota; Metazoa; Chordata; Mammalia; Rodentia; Castoridae. The record is from RefSeq and is a predicted model, not a curated record.